AGAACGAACGCUGGCGGCGUGGAUAAGACAUGCAAGUCGGACGGGAUUACCUUUGGUAGCAAUACCGAAGGUGAUUCAGUGGCGAACGGGUGCGUAACACGUGGGCAAUCUGCCGAGAAGUGGGGGAUAGCUCGCCGAAAGGCGAAUUAAUACCGCAUGUGAUGAGGAAGGACAUCUUUCUGAAAUCAAAGGUGGCGCAAGCUACCGCUUUUUGAGGAGCCCGCGGCCUAUCAGCUUGUUGGUGGGGUAAUGGCCUACCAAGGCGACGACGGGUA
This 275-nucleotide ribosomal RNA is filed under the name uncultured bacterium. RNAcentral describes it as "partial small subunit ribosomal RNA". It matches the Rfam family "Bacterial small subunit ribosomal RNA", at positions 26 to 285 of the family's 1533-position model. The record is from RNAcentral.